RNAcentral lists this ribosomal RNA (1375 nucleotides) under uncultured bacterium. Its description in RNAcentral is "bacterial SSU rRNA". It matches the Rfam family "Bacterial small subunit ribosomal RNA". The record is from RNAcentral.
AGAGUUUGAUCCUGGCUCAGAACGAACGCUGGCGGCGUGGAUAAGACAUGCAAGUCGAACGAGAGAAUUGCUAGCUUGCUAAUAAUUCUCUAGUGGCGCACGGGUGAGUAACACGUGAGUAACCUGCCCCCGAGAGCGGGAUAGCCCUGGGAAACUGGGAUUAAUACCGCAUAGUAUCGAAAGAUUAAAGCAGCAAUGCGCUUGGGGAUGGGCUCGCGGCCUAUUAGUUAGUUGGUGAGGUAACGGCUCACCAAGGCGAUGACGGGUAGCCGGUCUGAGAGGAUGUCCGGCCACACUGGAACUGAGACACGGUCCAGACACCUACGGGUGGCAGCAGUCGAGAAUCAUUCACAAUGGGGGAAACCCUGAUGGUGUGACGCCGCGUGGGGGAAUGAAGGUCUUCGGAUUGUAAACCCCUGUCAUGUGGGAGCAAAUUAAAAAGAUAGUACCACAAGAGGAAGAGACGGCUAACUCUGUGCCAGCAGCCGCGGUAAUACAGAGGUCUCAAGCGUUGUUCGGAAUCACUGGGCGUAAAGCGUGCGUAGGCUGUUUCGUAAGUCGUGUGUGAAAGGCGCGGGCUCAACCCGCGGACGGCAACAUGAUACUGCGAGACUAGAGUAAUGGAGGGGGAACCGGACUUCUCGGUGUAGCAGUGAAAUGCGUAAAUAUCGAGAGGAAACACUCGUGGGGAAGGCGGGUUCCUGGACAUUAACUGACGCUGAGGGCACGAAGCCCAGGGGAGCGAAAAGGGAUUAGAUUACCCCUGUAGUCCUGGCAGUAAACGGUGCACGCUUGGUGUGCGGGGAAUCGACCCCCUGCGUGCCGGAGCUAACGCGUUAAGCGUGCCGCCUGGGGAGUACGGUCGCAAGAUUAAAACUCAAAGAAAUUGACGGGGACCCGCACAAGCGGUGGAGUAUGUGGCUUAAUUCGAUGCAACGCGAAGAACCUUACCUGGGCUUGACAUGUAAUGAACAACAUGUGAAAGCAUGCGACUCUUCGGAGGCGUUACACAGGUGCUGCAUGGCCGUCGUCAGCUCGUGUCGUGAGAUGUUUGGUUAAGUCCAGCAACGAGCGCAACCCCUGUUGCCAGUUACCAGCACGUAAAGGUGGGGACUCUGGCGAGACUGCCCAGAUCAACUGGGAGGAAGGUGGGGACGACGUCAGGUCAGUAUGGCCCUUAUGCCCAGGGCUGCACACGUACUACAAUGCCCAGUACAGAGGGGGCCGAAGCCGCGAGGCGGAGGAAAUCCUAAAAACUGGGCCCAGUUCGGACUGUAGGCUGCAACCCGCCUACACGAAGCCGGAAUCGCUAGUAAUGGCGCAUCAGCUACGGCGCCGUGAAUACGUUCCCGGGUCUUGCACUCACCGCCCGUCA